GACGAACGCUGGCGGCGUGCUUAACACAUGCAAGUCGAACGGAAAGGCCCUGCUUUUGUGGGGUGCUCGAGUGGCGAACGGGUGAGUAACACGUGAGUAACCUGCCCUUGACUUUGGGAUAACUUCAGGAAACUGGGGCUAAUACCGGAUAGGAGCUCCUGCUGCAUGGUGGGGGUUGGAAAGUUUCGGCGGUUGGGGAUGGACUCGCGGCUUAUCAGUUUGUUGGUGGGGUAGUGGCUUACCAAGGCUUUGACGGGUAGCCGGCCUGAGAGGGUGACCGGCCACCUUGGGACUGAGAUACGGCCCAGACUCCUACGGGAGGCAGCAGUGGGGAAUAUUGCACAAUGGGCGGAAGCCUGAUGCAGCAACGCCGCGUGCGGGAUGACGGCCUUCGGGUUGUAAACCGCUUUCGCCUGUGACGAAGCGUGAGUGACGGUAAUGGGUAAAGAAGCACCGGCUAACUACGUGCCAGCAGCCGCGGUGAUACGUAGGGUGCGAGCGUUGUCCGGAUUUAUUGGGCGUAAAGGGCUCGUAGGUGGUUGAUCGCGUCGGAAGUGUAAUCUUGGGGCUUAACCCUGAGCGUGCUUUCGAUACGGGUUGACUUGAGGAAGGUAGGGGAGAAUGGAAUUCCUGGUGGAGCGGUGGAAUGCGCAGAUAUCAGGAGGAACACCAGUGGCGAAGGCGGUUCUCUGGGCCUUUCCUGGCGCUGAGGAGCGAAAGCGUGGGGAGCGAACAGGCUUAGAUACCCUGGUAGUCCACGCUGUAAACGGUGGGUACUAGGUGUGGGGUCCAUUCCACGGGUUCCGUGCCGUAGCUAACGCUUUAAGUACCCCGCCUGGGGAGUACGGCCGCAAGGCUAAAACUCAAAGGAAUUGACGGGGCCCCGCACAAGCGGCGGAGCAUGCGGAUUAAUUCGAUGCAACGCGUAGAACCUUACCUGGGUUUGACAUGGAUCGGGAGUGCUCAGAGAUGGGUGUGCCUCUUUUGGGGUCGGUUCACAGGUGGUGCAUGGCUGUCGUCAGCUCGUGUCGUGAGAUGUUGGGUUAAGUCCCGCAACGAGCGCAACCCUUGUUCACUGUUGCCAGCACGUUAUGGUGGGGACUCAGUGGAGACCGCCGGGGUCAACUCGGAGGAAGGUGGGGAUGACGUCAAGUCAUCAUGCCCCUUAUGUCCAGGGCUUCACGCAUGCUACAAUGGCUGGUACAGAGAGUGGCGAGCCUGUGAGGGUGAGCGAAUCUCGGAAAGCCGGUCUCAGUUCGGAUUGGGGUCUGCAACUCGACCUCAUGAAGUCGGAGUCGCUAGUAAUCGCAGAUCAGCAACGCUGCGGUGAAUACGUUCCCGGG
Molecule: ribosomal RNA, 1343 nt
Filed under: uncultured bacterium
Lineage: Bacteria
Description: 16S ribosomal RNA
Rfam family: Bacterial small subunit ribosomal RNA
Source: RNAcentral